Molecule: ribosomal RNA, 497 nt
Filed under: uncultured bacterium
Lineage: Bacteria
Description: partial 16S ribosomal RNA
Rfam family: Bacterial small subunit ribosomal RNA
Source: RNAcentral
GAUGAACGCUGGCGGCGUGCCUAAUACAUGCAAGUCGAGCGAACAGACGAGGAGCUUGCUCCUCUGACGUUAGCGGCGGACGGGUGAGUAACACGUGGAUAACCUACCUAUAAGACUGGGAUAACUUCGGGAAACCGGAGCUAAUACCGGAUAAUAUAUUGAACCUCAUGGUUCAAUAGUGAAAGACGGUUUUGCUGUCACUUAUAGAUGGAUCCGCGCCGCAUUAGCUAGUUGGUAAGGUAACGGCUUACCAAGGCAACGAUGCAUAGCCGACCUGAGAGGGUGAUCGGCCACACUGGAACUGAGACACGGUCCAGACUCCUACGGGAGGCAGCAGUAGGGAAUCUUCCGCAAUGGGCGAAAGCCUGACGGAGCAACGCCGCGUGAGUGAUGAAGGUCUUCGGAUCGUAAAACUCUGUUAUUAGGGAAGAACAAAUGUGUAAGUAACUAUGCACGUCUUGACGGUACCUAAUCAGAAAGCCACGGCUAACUACGUG